GACGAACGCUGGCGGCGUGCUUAACACAUGCAAGUCGAGCGGUAAGGCCCUUUCGGGGGUACGACGAGCGGCGAACGGGUGAGUAACACGUGGGUGACCUGCCCUCAGCUCUGGGAUAAGCCUGGGAAACUAGGGUCUAAUACUGGAUAUGACUCCACGGUGCAUGUCGUGGGGUGGAAAGCCUUGUGCGGCUGAGGAUGGGCCCGCGGCCUAUCAGCUUGUUGGUGGGGUGANGGCCUACCAAGGCGACGACGGGUAGCCGGCCUGAGAGGGCGACCGGCCACACUGGGACUGAGACACGGCCCAGACUCCUACGGGAGGCAGCAGUGGGGAAUCUUGCGCAAUGGGCGAAAGCCUGACGCAGCGACGCCGCGUGAGGGA
Molecule: ribosomal RNA, 381 nt
Filed under: uncultured bacterium
Lineage: Bacteria
Description: bacterial SSU rRNA
Rfam family: Bacterial small subunit ribosomal RNA
Source: RNAcentral